This is a long non-coding RNA of Lotus japonicus, 400 nucleotides long. RefSeq lists it as uncharacterized. Lineage: Eukaryota; Viridiplantae; Streptophyta; Magnoliopsida; Fabales; Fabaceae. The record is from RefSeq and is a predicted model, not a curated record. The transcript is spliced from 3 exons.
CUAAGAAUGAAGAAGAAGAAUUCAACACUAGACCACUAUCUGUUCUGAUGAUGAGUAUUAAAAAUGAUACUCAUGUAUGUUUUUUUAACAUUAGAUAGUAACAUGGAUUCUGAGGCAGCCCCUAGAAGGCAUUUUAUGUCUGAGGUUUUAACCAGACACUUUAACUUCAAUAGCAAGAAGCUUCUGGGUCGUGGCAUGGCUUUUCAUAGGCACCGCAACAUGGUUCAGGAUCAAAAUUUUAAAAAUAGUUUAUUCGAUGAAAACUAAAUAGUGAAGAAGCAAGAAUCAAAUAAUCAUCCAGCCAACUGCUGAACCUGAAAGUACAAUUUUUCGAAAUCAGAUUGGAAAUGUCCUUUGCAGUAUGCAGGAACAACUUUUUGAAUGAUUUGCCUUCCUUGGA